Paramuricea clavata is the source of this 1454-nucleotide non-coding RNA. Lineage: Eukaryota; Metazoa; Cnidaria; Anthozoa; Malacalcyonacea; Plexauridae. The record is from the annotation of a GenBank genome assembly.
AGGGAUUAUACAUGGUAUUAGACCAAAAUACGCUGCCAGCUUCAAGAUGGAACUUCUAUAUUCGUAGUUUGCUCCAAAUUCAUACUUUAUUUAUGCAUGCUAUCGAAUUUUUCAACAAAAAUACAGAAUUAGGAUAAUAUAGAAUUGAAGAUAAAUCAAAGUGUUUCAUAGUUUGUUGUGUCUGUGCGCGGUGGAAAAGUAAUUCUAUACUGGCUAAUUAUCUCUUUCGGAAAACGCACUUUGCCUAGCCUUUUGUAAAAUAAAACGAUCAUACGUCACCGUCAAUCAUUCUGAUGUAAACACCAGCCUAUCAGAUAAGAUAGUACUGCCUUUUCCAGUCCCUUCUUAAGACACAGACGAGUUUUCCUUGACAAGUUCAACCCACUGGUUCAACCUCGUUCACAGGGUCUUUCCUCUUGUGGAGAAAAGACCCUGCAUGGUAGACGCUGGUCCCGUGAUCUGCUAAAAUUUCGCGGAUUUCUAAUUAACUAUCUUGGAUUCCUUUACGACAAUCACGCAAAAUGCAAAUUAUAAAUUAAACUAUAAAAAAUAUCCAAAUAUCAAAUAUUUAUUGACCUCGUCUUGGAUUGCUAAUUAAAAAUCUGCUAUAGAUUUUAGCAGAUCAUGUGACCAGCGUCUACCAGGAUCUUUUCUCCCCUCGCCAAGAGGAAAUACCCUGGGUUGGUGGUUGUGACAAGUUUCCCUUGACGAAUUUCCUUGACAACUUUGCCUUCUCGUGCGUACUGUCAAAAGGUUUUCCUUGACAAAUUUGCCUUCUCGUGCGUACUGUCAAAAGGUUUUCCUUGACAAAUUUGCCUUCUCGUGCGUACUGUCAAAAGGUUUUCCUUGACAACUUUGCUUUCUCGUGUGUACUGUCAAAAGGUUUUCCUUGACAAAUUUGCCUUCUCGUGCGUACUGUCAAAAGGCUUUCCUUGACAACUUUGCCUUCUCGUGUGUACUGUCACAAGGUUUUCCUUGACAAGUUUUCCUUGACAACUUUGCCUUCUCGUGCGUACUGUCAAAAGGUUUUCCUUGACUUUGCCUUCUCGUGCGUACUGUCAAAAGGUUUUCCUUGACUUUGCCUUCUCGUGCGUACUGUCAAAAGGUUUUCCUUGACUUUGCCUUCUCGUGCGUACUGUCAAAAGGUUUUCCUUGACAACUUUGCCUUCUCGUGUGUACUGUCAAAAGGUUUUCCUUGACAAGUUUUCCUUGACAACUUUGCCUUCUCGUGCGUACUGUCAAAAGGUUUUCCUUGACAAGUCAGUUUCUUUGACAAAUUUAUCUUCUCGUGCGUACUGUCAAAAGGUUUUCCCCGACAAGUUUUCCUUGACAAGUUUCCCUCGACAAUUUUUUGUUGCUCAUGUGCACGGAAUGUUGUUCAACAUCUCACGUCAAGGCCACUUUUUGUUUGCCAAAACCAUAGACGAAUUUCUUGUACACUUGUCAACUUUUCC